GCCUUAGGGUUGUAAACCGCUUUUAUCAGGGAAGAACACAAUGACGGUACCUGAUGAAUAAGCCUCGGCUAAUUCCGUGCCAGCAGCCGCGGUAAUACGGGAGAGGCGAGCGUUAUCCGGAAUUAUUGGGCGUAAAGCGUCCGCAGGUGGCCAAUUAAGUCUGUCGUUAAAUCGUGGAGCUCAACUCCAUACAAGCGAUGGAAACUGAUUGGCUAGAGUACGGUAGGGGUAGCGGGAAUUCCAGGUGUAGCGGUGAAAUGCGUAGAUAUCUGGAAGAACACCAGCGACGAAAGUGCGCUACUGGGCCUGUACUGACACUCAUGGACGAAAGCCAGGGGAGCGAAAGGGAUUAGAUACCCCUGUAGUCCUGGCCGUAAACGAUGAACACUAGGUGUUGCGCGAAUCGACCCGUGCAGUGCCGUAGCCAACGCGUUAAGUGUUCCGCCUGGGGAGUACGCACGCAAGUGUGAAACUCAAAGGAAUUGACGGGGGCCCGCACAAGCAGUGGAGUAUGUGGUUUAAUUCGAUGCAACGCGAAGAACCUUACCAAGGCUUGACAUCCCCCGAAUCUCUGGGAAAC
RNAcentral lists this ribosomal RNA (580 nucleotides) under uncultured Synechococcus sp. Its description in RNAcentral is "bacterial SSU rRNA". It matches the Rfam family "Bacterial small subunit ribosomal RNA", at positions 414 to 1007 of the family's 1533-position model. Lineage: Bacteria; Bacillati; Cyanobacteriota; Cyanophyceae; Synechococcales; Synechococcaceae. The record is from RNAcentral.